GGUUUGAAUCCAUUCAACUUUUUUAUCUGGCUUCGGUAGCUGAUUCUAGCUUUGAUCUUGCUUGCAUGUCUUUCAAUUUUACAGACUCUCUUAGAUGUUACAAUGGCUAUCACAAGAUCUCCGAGUUCGUCGCCCUUUGAGGGUGGUCUUCUAGUGAUCCUUUGAGGUUCCUGAGAGGUUGUUGAUGCUUCUUCUAGGGUUGCUGAAGCACGAGUCACAACUCUAGGAUCGAUCUACACGUUUAGGCGAAAUCCAUAAACCCUAAACCUGCACUACUUAUACAUCUAUUAAAAAUGAAACAACUCAAAGGAGGGUUCUAGAACUUGUUGCUUUGCCCAAUGAUGGAAUUCCUAGAUUGUUGCUUGAUAUCAGUUGUAGAUAAAGACUUAGUGGAAAUACAUUGUCUGAGAAUGAGAAUGGUCACCAGUGGAUUGGCAUGAAUAUUUCACAGUCAAUGUUUAAUGUUGCACUCCAACUCCAUUUUCAAUUGCAAUACCAAGUAAAUUCAAAGCAAACAUGAAGACUCCUCUGUAUCAUGUUAAUCAAGUAAAUCCAUAUGAACUGUAUGAAGACUCCAUUUUCAAU
This is a long non-coding RNA of Impatiens glandulifera, 585 nucleotides long. RefSeq lists it as uncharacterized. The record is from RefSeq and is a predicted model, not a curated record. Lineage: Eukaryota; Viridiplantae; Streptophyta; Magnoliopsida; Ericales; Balsaminaceae. The transcript is spliced from 4 exons.